GUAACCAGCCCGGGGACCACUCGUGCCCCCUCCCUGCCCUUUCUCACGCGCAUCUCCUGGUGGGGCACCCCCUUCUUAAGUCCUCGGCCCCUCCCGCCAACGGUCACCGGGGGAUCCUGGCAGAGACCUGGCCUCAGGAUUCUUGGGUCCAUCCUAAAUCGGUGCUAUAGCUAGAGGCUGUAUCUCAGGAGGGGAGUCAGCACUUUGCAGGACAAGAAAAGCUGAGACCAAGAUGAAGGCCAACAAAGAGCUCCCUCUUCUCCCUAAAAGGGGUGAGGUGCACAUACGAUGGGGGGCACGAUGAAGAUAACUUAGGAACCCAGAGACAAAUUUUUAUUUAAAAUUUAUUGUAAUGGGGUCUGCGCAAAAGGAGGGAGGGGAAGGGGGGGAAACAUGCAAGGGACACAGGAACACGAUGACAUGGCCAGGGCCACAGCUUCUGUUGUGGGAAAGAGGAGAAAAGACCAGGGCUGGAGCUGGGGUGGAAGAGGGAAGGGGGAGACACCGUGGCUGCAUUCCCCCACCCCCAGGAAGCACCUCUUGUCCCUGGCUCUCCUCCUUUACCCUGGCCCCCUAAGAUUCCAUCUCUCUUGUUCUGCCUCUGGCCCUAGUGGCUCCUUCUGAUGCUCCCCUUGGCUUUUCCCUGGAGAUACUCCAGUAGAUGUUAGGAUUUAGUCACUCCACCUUACUGAAGUAUCCCUCUGCCUUCCCUGGUUCUGCCCCUCAAUACUACUGUAUCCUUUCUCUGGGACAGAAUCUUAAUCCCCCUCCUCUCUCUCCUCCCU
This is a non-coding RNA of Myodes glareolus (Bank vole), 785 nucleotides long. Lineage: Eukaryota; Metazoa; Chordata; Mammalia; Rodentia; Cricetidae. The record is from RefSeq and is a predicted model, not a curated record.